This 496-nucleotide ribosomal RNA is filed under the name uncultured bacterium. RNAcentral's name for it is "partial 16S ribosomal RNA". It matches the Rfam family "Bacterial small subunit ribosomal RNA", at positions 29 to 507 of the family's 1533-position model. The record is from RNAcentral.
AUGAACGCUGGCGGCGUGCCUAAUACAUGCAAGUCGAGCGAACAGAUGAGGAGCUUGCUCCUCUGACGUUAGCGGCGGACGGGUGAGUAACACGUGGAUAACCUACCUAUAAGACUGGGAUAACUUCGGGAAACCGGAGCUAAUACCGGAUAAUAUAUUGAACCGCAUGGUUCAAUAGUGAAAGACGGUUUUGCUGUCACUUAUAGAUGGAUCCGCGCCGCAUUAGCUAGUUGGUAAGGUAACGGCUUACCAAGGCAACGAUGCGUAGCCGACCUGAGAGGGUGAUCGGCCACACUGGAACUGAGACACGGUCCAGACUCCUACGGGAGGCAGCAGUAGGGAAUCUUCCGCAAUGGGCGAAAGCCUGACGGAGCAACGCCGCGUGAGUGAUGAAGGUCUUCGGAUCGUAAAACUCUGUUAUUAGGGAAGAACAAAUGUGUAAGUAACUAUGCACGUCUUGACGGCACCUAAUCAGAAAGCCACGGCUAACUACGUG